Molecule: long non-coding RNA, 436 nt
Organism: Dromiciops gliroides (monito del monte)
Lineage: Eukaryota; Metazoa; Chordata; Mammalia; Microbiotheria; Microbiotheriidae
Exons: 3
Source: RefSeq, a predicted model, not a curated record
CUCCCACCACCACCACCAAGAAUCCAGCCUCCAAAGAGGCUUGGCAUAUGCCAAAUAGUACUUGAGACGGCAUCGGGAACCCCAUCCAGGACCAGGUUAAGAGAGCAAGAGAAGAGAUCUCAGGCAGGAGGGGACUCGAGAUGACAGGCUUCUGUAGAUGGCCUCUCUUCUUGGUGGUGGUGUGUCUGCUGCUGAUGUUGACAGGCUGGGGGGCCUGUGCAGUAAUGCAGGUUCCAGACUAUCCUGGGGAAGAUGCCAAUGUGGAGCAGCUGGAAAACUUCCUGUUGAAACUCGGCAAGGAGCUGGAGGCUAUCAACAUGUCCCCUUACCGAAAGAGGAGACGCUAGGAGAUCAAGAAUCAUUUCCCCAGGCAAUGGCUGAAGAGCCUUGUGCCAUGUUCGGAAUUCUGAUGAAUCAAGUGGAUCCCAAAGGCUGC